This 496-nucleotide ribosomal RNA is filed under the name uncultured bacterium. Its description in RNAcentral is "partial 16S ribosomal RNA". It matches the Rfam family "Bacterial small subunit ribosomal RNA", at positions 28 to 506 of the family's 1533-position model. The record is from RNAcentral.
GAUGAACGCUGGCGGCGUGCCUAAUACAUGCAAGUCGAGCGAACAGACGAGGAGCUUGCUCCUCUGACGUUAGCGGCGGACGGGUGAGUAACACGUGGAUAACCUACCUAUAAGACUGGGAUAACUUCGGGAAACCGGAGCUAAUACCGGAUAAUAUAUUGAACCGCAUGGUUCAAUAGUGAAAGACGGUUUUGCUGUCACUUAUAGAUGGAUCCGCGCCGCAUUAGCUAGUUGGUAAGGUAACGGCUUACCAAGGCAACGAUGCGUAGCCGACCUGAGAGGGUGAUCCGCCCACUGGGACAGGAGACGCGGCCCAGGCCCCUACGGGAGGCCGGAGGGGGGAAUUCUCCGAAAGGGGGGAAAGCCUGACGGGGCAACGCCGGGGGGGUGAUGAAGGUCUUCGGAUCGUAAAACUCUUUUAUGGGGGAAAAAAAAAUGUGUAAGUAAAUAUGCACGUUUUGACGGUACCUAAUCAGAAAGCCCCGGCUAACUACGG